Molecule: long non-coding RNA, 410 nt
Organism: Bombus terrestris (buff-tailed bumblebee)
Lineage: Eukaryota; Metazoa; Arthropoda; Insecta; Hymenoptera; Apidae
Exons: 2
Source: RefSeq, a predicted model, not a curated record
UCAGAAGCAAAUACGUGGGAAAGAACAAUACACACAGUUUCCAAAAAUGUUUUGACACAACGACUCAUAUCAGCUGUUUCAACGUUAGCUGAACAGUCUUUCAUUGUAAAAAGAUAGAGCGGCAGAUGUGGGAGUAACAUGCGAAUACACAUGAAUGGUCGAAAUAGAUGUGCGUACCGGGUCUACGGAAAGUAGACGCUUAAUGACGAUCUGAAAACGAAUGACAUUUUGAUCGCCAGUUUUACAAGAGCAGAGUUGUUUGGCUCCAUCAAGCAACGGAAUCAAAUUCUGAUAAAAUUACGCAAUUACGUAAAUUACUAUACAGAGAAUCAUGAACUUAUUGUAAAAUUGUACGAUUAUCGUAAAUUUGCAAAUUGCAGUCAAUAAAUCAAUCUCAUUUUGCAAAUGAA